AACGUAGGACGCAAGCGUUAUCCGGAGUUACUGGGCGUAAAGCGCGGGCAGGCGGCCUGCAAAGUCUGAUGUGAAAGCGCCCGGCUCAACCGGGCGAGGCCAUUGGAAACUAGUAGGCUGGAGGGCAGUAGAGGCAGGCGGAAUUCCGGGUGGAGUGGUGAAAUGCGUAGAGAUCCGGAGGAACACCAGAGGCGAAGGCGGCCUGCUGGGCUGCACCUGACGCUGAGCCGCGAAAGCCAGGGGAGCGAACGGG
Molecule: ribosomal RNA, 253 nt
Filed under: uncultured prokaryote
Description: partial 16S ribosomal RNA
Rfam family: Bacterial small subunit ribosomal RNA
Source: RNAcentral